GGGAAGCUGCUGAAUGACAUCCUGGGCUGUGUGGAGAAGUUCAGCUACAAGAACCCAGAGGAGGCCGAGGAGCAGCACUUCAGCGACCAUCAGCUUUGAAAGUUGGCGAUCGGGAGCCAACCAUUGAGCGAUCCUGGGUCGAGUUGAGAAGAUUUCGCUCCAUACUCAAAUGUCCUGGAGGACCACUGUCUUGGCAAACUACGUUGGAGGUUGGUGCACCCUGUAAAAGAAAAAGGUAAAUCGUGACGUCACACGCCAGUUUUGACACGGAAGUUUCACCAACAUGCACUGAGCAGCAAUCUUGUCAGUGCAGCAAAUAACUAAAUUGGUCCGCACACGUCAUUCAAUGAGAAUAUUACACAUCCAGUUUGCACCCUUCGCUAGGAGAAGAGAGGAAAACAGCAACUAUUGGUCAUCGACUUCAGGAAGAGAAUGACCCCGGUGGAGCCCAUCAAGAUCCAGGGUACGGGAGGUGGCAGUAGUGGAGCAGUACAAGUACCUGGGAGUCCACUUGAACAGCAGACUGGACUGGAAGGACAACUGCAAAGCUGUUUACAAGAAGGGCAUGAGCAGACUCUUUUUCCUGAGGAAGCUUAGGUCCUUAAAUGUGUGCAGCAAGCUGUUGGAAAUAUUUUAUCAGUCUGUAGUGGCCAGUGCCCUGUACUUUGCAGUGGUUUGUUGGGGGAGCAGCACCAGCAAAAGGGACUCAAACCGGAUUGAUAAACUGAUCCGGAAAGCUGGCCAAACUAUUGGCACGCAGUUGGAGGCGUUUGUGUCAGUGAGGGACAGGAGGACACUGGACAAACUGCUGGCCAUCAUGGACAAUCCUGCCCAACCACUCCACCUGACAAUUGAGGGACAGCGGAGCUCAUACUCCAACAGGCUCCUUCAGCUUCCUUCCCGCACUGUGCGAUUCAAGAACUCCUUCAUUCCGCACUCCAUCCAGCUGUAUAAUCACUCGCCAUACAGCAAUAGAUGAUAUCUGUCUAUUACUUGACACCUGACAUGUUAGCUAUUUCUCUUUUUUUUUAAUGUCUAUUUUCUGCUGGAUUUACUCUCUACUUUAUGCUGCAGCUGUCACAUAUACUGUAUAUUGUCGUCAUGUGCGUACAUGGUAAUUGUUAUAUUUUGUAUAUAUGAUAUAGACAUAAUAUAAUAUAUCAGUAUAUAUAAUAUACUGUACAUAUAUUAUGUAAAUAUUACGUAUAUAUGUUAUAUUUUAUAUCGCUAUAUUUAGUCUAUUUAUACCUGCAUUGUCCUUUCCAUCCUUACACUUUCCAUCAUUGUAACUGAGCUACUGUGUGGAACAAUAUCCCUUGUGGAUCAUUAAAGUUUGUCUAAGUCUAAGUCUAUUCUACAUUUUUGGGAUUUCAAUAAUAAUAAUUGACACUAAUGUGACACUUUUUGGAUUCAAACACUUCAAGCCACAAAACACCCAACAUGAAAUAAGGACAUUCAUUUCACAGACAUAUUUGUCAAAUGUUAUUUUGUCGGUGUGUGUUUGUGUUGAACACUGGGUGUGUCUUUUGGUGCUAUUCUAGGUUUUAGGGUCAGUUAAUGUACUUUCAAAAUGUGAUGAAGGCCUGUUGGCUGAAACAGGUUGGGGCUAAUUUAAAGGUCCAUUAAAGACAUUUUAACUGAUGAAAAAAGUGCCUUGUUUUUUUUUUAUUAAAGCAGUUUUGUUGAACAAAACGUGUGUGCAGGGAUGCACCCUGACCACCAUCAACAGUCGCCAUCUUGGCAACAUGGCGGAAAGGGAGGCACUAACUCAAGUGGGUGCAAUUCACAUUUAAAAAGCAUUUAUACUGUUGGGGUGUCCCAAUACAACUUUUUUACUACUGAUACGAUACCAAUAUUGGAUUACCUUAUUAAUAUAUUCAUCUGAUACGAUAACAGUAGGAAUCAUAUUGUGCAGAGUUGUAAUAUUUUGUAAACAAUUGUACACAAUGUUUGAUCAAACGAAAU
Entelurus aequoreus (snake pipefish) is the source of this 1965-nucleotide long non-coding RNA. RefSeq lists it as uncharacterized. The transcript has 5 exons. The record is from RefSeq and is a predicted model, not a curated record. NCBI's taxonomy places the organism in Eukaryota, Metazoa, Chordata, Actinopteri, Syngnathiformes, Syngnathidae.